RNAcentral lists this ribosomal RNA (466 nucleotides) under uncultured bacterium. RNAcentral describes it as "partial 16S ribosomal RNA". It matches the Rfam family "Bacterial small subunit ribosomal RNA", at positions 28 to 507 of the family's 1533-position model. The record is from RNAcentral.
GACGAACGCUGGCGGCGUGCUUAACACAUGCAAGUCGAACGGAAAGGCCCUGCUUGCAGGGUACUCGAGUGGCGAACGGGUGAGUAACACGUGGGUGAUCUGCCCUGCACUUCGGGAUAAGCCUGGGAAACUGGGCCUAAUACCGGAUAGGAGCCAUUUUUAGUGUGAUGGUUGGAAAGUUUUUUUCGGUGUAGGAUGAGCUCGCGGCCUAUCAGCUUGUUGGUGGGGUAAUGGCCUACCAAGGCGGCGACGGGUAGCCGGCCUGAGAGGGUGGACGGCCACAUUGGGACUGAGAUACGGCCCAGACUCCUACGGGAGGCAGCAGUGGGGAAUAUUGCACAAUGGGCGCAAGCCUGAUGCAGCGACGCCGCGUGGGGGAUGACGGCCUUCGGGUUGUAAACUCCUUUCGCUAGGGACGAAGCUUUUUGUGACGGUACCUAGAUAAGAAGCACCGGCUAACUACGUG